RNAcentral lists this ribosomal RNA (269 nucleotides) under uncultured bacterium. RNAcentral's name for it is "partial 16S ribosomal RNA". It matches the Rfam family "Bacterial small subunit ribosomal RNA", at positions 335 to 599 of the family's 1533-position model. The record is from RNAcentral.
ACUACCUACGGGGGGCAGCAGUGAGGAAUAUUGGUCAAUGGGAGAGAUCCUGAACCAGCCAAGCCGCGUGAGGGAAGACUGCCCUAUGGGUUGUAAACCUCUUUUGUCAGGGAGCAACGCCGGCUACGUGUAGCCGGACUGAGAGUACCUGAAGAAAAAGCAUCGGCUAACUCCGUGCCAGCAGCCGCGGUAAUACGGAGGAUGCGAGCGUUAUCCGGAUUUAUUGGGUUUAAAGGGUGCGCAGGCGGUCUGUUAAGUCAGCGGUCAAA